Long non-coding RNA from Daphnia carinata, 705 nucleotides. RefSeq lists it as uncharacterized. The transcript is spliced from 5 exons. Lineage: Eukaryota; Metazoa; Arthropoda; Branchiopoda; Diplostraca; Daphniidae. The record is from RefSeq and is a predicted model, not a curated record.
GCCUUGCCAGGCUAAAAAUGGCAAAAAAAAGCCUUGCCAGGCUAAAAAUCGAUCUGUAGUACUGUUCACUACACGUUAAGGAUCGACCCACAAACUGAAGGGUGGAGAAGAGGGGAACAUUGAACGUAGGCUGUUCGUUAGCCUCCCCACGGCCUGAAAGACGGCUCGUGGAUGCAGACGCUUAUGAUCGGGAUAUGUGACCCAAUUCGAUACCUGAAAAUUAGCGCCACUUGGCGCGAAGAAAAUCUACCUAUCCCCCGGCGCUUCUGUGUUCAUCCAGGCUGCUACUCUUCAAACAUGGAGUCUUGCUGUCGCCUCUAAGAACCCCAUAGUACUACUUUUUCCAGAAACGUCUUCAGCGAGCUCGAUUUGUUCAUAGUUCUGUUUUUGGAAUCAACGGCGAUAUGGAACAACAAAUAUACACAACAGUAUGUGGACAACAAGAAAGCUUCUGUUUGAAGAAAAAACUACAUCAGUAACCAGUUGCAGGUUCUCAUUCAUGAUUUACAUAGAAAACCGAUAAGAGUUUUUGGACUACCGUACUGCUUUUUGCAUGUUUGACGUUUAUCCGUCGAUAUCCAUGUUGCCAUGGCUAAAACAACAAAAAGGUUGGAAUCUAGAUACUAUGUGCUUUCACUUUACGCUAUGUACUUCGAGGACUUUGCGUUUAGCUGUGAAAACCUUAUUCUUCUAUAAGCAAGGCAU